CCGGCCCGGCGCGGCCGGGCUUGGCGCGGCCGGCCUUGGCGUGGCUCGGCUUGGCGCGGCCGGGCUUGGCGUCGCUCGGCUUGGCGCGGCCGGGC
This 95-nucleotide transfer RNA is filed under the name Actinoplanes sp. NBRC 14428. RNAcentral's name for it is "tRNA-Ala". The record is from RNAcentral. Lineage: Bacteria; Bacillati; Actinomycetota; Actinomycetes; Micromonosporales; Micromonosporaceae.